UACGGAGGGUGCAAGCGUUAUCCGGAUUCACUGGGUUUAAAGGGUGCGUAGGUGGGUCUGUAAGUCCGUGGUGAAAUCUCCGAGCUUAACUUGGAAAUUGCCAUUGAUACUGACGAUCUUGAGUACAUUUGAAGUGGGCGGAAUGUGUCAUGUAGCGGUGAAAUGCUUAGAUAUGACACAGAACACCGAUUGCGUAGGCAGCUCACUAAACUGUAACUGACGCUGAGGCACGAAAGCGUGGGGAGCAAACAGG
This 253-nucleotide ribosomal RNA is filed under the name uncultured bacterium. Its description in RNAcentral is "partial 16S ribosomal RNA". It matches the Rfam family "Bacterial small subunit ribosomal RNA", at positions 524 to 776 of the family's 1533-position model. The record is from RNAcentral.